Long non-coding RNA from Carassius auratus (goldfish), 198 nucleotides. RefSeq lists it as uncharacterized. The transcript is spliced from 3 exons. Lineage: Eukaryota; Metazoa; Chordata; Actinopteri; Cypriniformes; Cyprinidae. The record is from RefSeq and is a predicted model, not a curated record.
CCCUGCCCUGUGCCCACCUGUGCCCACCCUGUGCUCCGAGACCACCAGUGCUGCCCCGGCUGUGACGAGAUAACGAGCUCGUCAGCGCCGGUGAUGCUGUGGACGUCUGUCACCGAGGACUGGAUCAGCGCCGCUCCUCCGCUGCACAGCGUCACACCUGGUGAUGUUUUCUCGCGGGACGAUCCGAGUCAGACGGAG